This 507-nucleotide ribosomal RNA is filed under the name uncultured bacterium. RNAcentral describes it as "partial 16S ribosomal RNA". The record is from RNAcentral.
GGAGUUAGCCGGUGCUUCUUCUGUGAGUGAUGUCCUUCCUGCCGGCUAUUAACCCGCAGGCCUUCUUCCUCACUGAAAGUGCUUUACAACCCGAAGGCCUUCUUCACACACGCGGCAUGGCUGGAUCAGGGUUGCCCCCAUUGUCCAAUAUUCCCCACUGCUGCCUCCCGUAGGAGUCUGGGCCGUGUCUCAGUCCCAGUGUGGCUGAUCAUCCUCUCAGACCAGCUACGGAUCGUCGCCUUGGUGAGCCGUUACCUCACCAACCAGCUAAUCCGACAUAGGCUCAUCCGAUAGCGCGAGGCCCGAAGGUCCCCCGCUUUCCCCAGUAGGGCGUAUGCGGUAUUAGCCUGGGUUUCCCCAGGUUAUCCCCCACUACCGGGCAGAUUCCUAUGCAUUACUCACCCGUCCGCCGCUCGCCACCAGGGAGCAAGCUCCCCGUGCUGCCGCUCGACUUGCAUGUGUUAGGCCUGCCGCCAGCGUUCAAUCUGAACCAAGAUCAAAUUCUGA